GGUCGAUGCCACAGCUAUCAAGUAACCUCUUAGGUAAUUUCUGAAAACAGUUGACAUGAUAUAUGAUCAUGUCACGUGCAAUUAUCAACAAAGCAUACACUUCAAGACACAUAUAUCAUUGGAUUCAACACUGAGCAUAUAUAUCAUCACAUCACUACACUAUACGCCAAGCAUCAAAUUACUACAGUAAUUAGGCAUAUCAUUAGAUUACUCCGUACACUAAGCAUAUCAUCGCAUAUUACUACACUACACGCAUGUCAUAAAAUUCUUCACUAAAUGAAUUCUAAACUUGGCCUCUCAUCACAGUACUACAACAUGCAUAUCAUAUGAAGUACUACACUAACUAAGCAUGCAUAUCAUGUAAUUACCACACUAAGUAACAUACCAUAAUAUGCCGUUUAACAUUCGUCCUUGUGAGGCGGGUCAUGAAUGGCUUCCCUAGGUAGUCUUCACGUAGCAGAAGCAUGUCCCAGAGGUUGCCGAUUUCCUCGUCGCCCAGGCUGAGUCCUUGGGCAUACAGGUAUUCAACAAGUGGGUUCUCAUCAUCAUCUGAAUC
RNAcentral lists this long non-coding RNA (556 nucleotides) under Triticum aestivum (bread wheat). RNAcentral's name for it is "long non-coding RNA (TAES_LNC012648)". Lineage: Eukaryota; Viridiplantae; Streptophyta; Magnoliopsida; Poales; Poaceae. The record is from RNAcentral.